GAUGAAGAACGCAUCGAAAUGCGAUACGUAAUGUGAAUUGCAGAAUUCAGUGAAUCAGCGAAUCUUUGAACGCACAUUGCGCCUGCCAGCACUCUGGCAGGCAUGCCUGUUCGAGCGUCAUUUCAACCAUCAAGCCCUAGGCUUGCGUUGGAGCCCUGCGGCUGCCGCAGGCCCCUAAAAGCAGUGGCGGGCUCGCUAUCACACCGAGUGCAGUAGAUUACUCUUCGCUCAGGGCGUGUGGCGGGUUCCAGCCGUGAAACCCCCUACUGCUCAAGGUUGACCUCGGAUCAGGUAGGAAUACCCGCUGAACUUAAGCAUAUCAAUAAGCGGAGGA
RNAcentral lists this unclassified non-coding RNA (334 nucleotides) under soil metagenome. RNAcentral describes it as "partial contains 5.8S ribosomal RNA, internal transcribed spacer 2, and large subunit ribosomal RNA". The stretch from base 1 to 120 matches the Rfam family "5.8S ribosomal RNA", at positions 35 to 154 of the family's 154-position model. The record is from RNAcentral.